This is a long non-coding RNA of Rosa rugosa (rugosa rose), 884 nucleotides long. RefSeq lists it as uncharacterized. NCBI's taxonomy places the organism in Eukaryota, Viridiplantae, Streptophyta, Magnoliopsida, Rosales, Rosaceae. The record is from RefSeq and is a predicted model, not a curated record. The transcript is spliced from 2 exons.
GCUAACAAACAGACGUUUGGUGGUCGUUGAAAACUGAAACGAAGAACAAAAAAAGAAAAGCGGAGUAAAAACAAAAUUUACCACGACUGUUGAGAUCGACCUUAUAGCUAUUCACAAACCCGAUCUUUCAAUUUUUGUUUGCAGCUCGCAGAGAAUCUGUUCACUGAUGUUGAUGCAGAACACAAGAGCCGUUCAUCAAAUGAUUCGGAGUGCGCAUGGAGAAGACAGAGCCGUUCUAGUCUCGAUUCUCGAAGGGUCCCUCCGAACAAAAAGAAUUAGAAGAACAGGCGAAGACCAAUUCUUAAUAGUUCCUGAGGUUCCUUCUAGGUUGAGAUGGGUGUCCCUCCGUUUCAGGUUAUUCUUCACUUGCGAAACCCUAGCUCCCAAUUCAAUACCGAAUCUGGAGAUCUUCUUAGCAUUCAAUCCACGGAGCUCAAAUUCCCCUGAGAUUGGUCAUUAAAAGUGACCCCUACUUUGCAACGCAGCUUCUAUUUAAUGCAUUUGGAACAAUGGCAAUGGCUAGACACGUGAGAAUAUUUCUACAUUUCUAAGUGUCCUGCUAUUUGUUGCUGCACAGAGUAGUUACAUGAAGCCCUUUGUUACAAAUUUUUUGUACCUAAGUUCAGUUUUUGCUUCGUAAAGCAUGUAGCUAUUGUGCUUCAUUGUACAUAACAAAUUUUCUAAAUUUGUAAUGUGCCCAAGCAAAUCAGUGUGCUCCUUCAAUAGAUUUGAGAUGCAUGGAAGUCUAUAGAAUUGUAUGAUGUUCAAGAGAGCUUAGGCACAUGUGGAGGCAUUUCACCUUGACCAGGGUGUAGAAAACUUACUGUAAACAAAUCAAAGAUUGUGCCAUGUCUAAUUGCUUUCAGCAUUUAGUAUUUUUCAUA